GGAGAAGAGAAAAUGACAAAAGUCAAUAAGAGUUAUUCACUAAACUGAGAAUUGUUGGAGCUUCAAAAUUAAUUAAAAAGUUAAUUUAAAAUGUAAGGUCAAAGUAGCCAAAUCUGGAGAAUGUUUUUAAGUUUGUUUUUGUUUUUUGUUUUUUUUGUCCUUAAAUUAGAAAUUCAAUUUGAAUUCUCAUGUGAAUAACCCUAUCGUUAUAAAGAGAAACAGUCUGGAGAGAAUCUGUGGCAUACAGUGAG
This is a non-coding RNA of Pelobates cultripes (western spadefoot toad), 251 nucleotides long. Lineage: Eukaryota; Metazoa; Chordata; Amphibia; Anura; Pelobatidae. The record is from the annotation of a GenBank genome assembly.